GAUGAAGAACGUAGCGAAAUGCGAUAAGUAGUGUGAAUUGCAGAAUUCAGUGAAUCAUCGAAUCUUUGAACGCACAUUGCGCCCCUUGGUAUUCCGGGGGGCAUGCCUGUUCGAGCGUCAUUUCAACCCUCAAGCUCUGCUUGGUAUUGGGCUCCGUCCUCCUCGGACGCGCCUCAAAGACCUCGGCGGUGGCGUCUUGCCUCAAGCGUAGUAGAAACACCUCGCUUUGGAGUGCAUGGCGUCGCCCGCCGGACGAAACCUUUUGUAUUUUCUCAAGGUUGACCUCGGAUCAGGUAGGGAUACCCGCUGAACUUAAGCAUAUCAAUAAGCGGAGGA
Molecule: unclassified non-coding RNA, 336 nt
Filed under: soil metagenome
Description: partial contains 5.8S ribosomal RNA, internal transcribed spacer 2, and large subunit ribosomal RNA
Rfam family: 5.8S ribosomal RNA (bases 1-120)
Source: RNAcentral